This 145-nucleotide microRNA precursor is filed under the name Oryza sativa (Asian cultivated rice). RNAcentral's name for it is "miR5498 stem-loop (osa-MIR5498)". The record is from miRBase by way of RNAcentral. Lineage: Eukaryota; Viridiplantae; Streptophyta; Magnoliopsida; Poales; Poaceae.
AACUGGUGGUUGAGCUGUAACACUUGAAGACGCAACUUGCACUGCAUUGGCUCCUGUGACGACAAUGUUGUUGACUUGACCUUGCGGCUGCUGAUGCUUUGGCUUCGAACACUCUCUUGCAAAGUGACAUGGCUUGUAACAGUUG